AGGUAUUUAGCAUCUGUGUGCGGUAGUCUAUUUUCUGUUUCACAUGGUAGACGUCUGCUCGCAGGCUAUGCCGCUUUCUGUUUCUGACUUGUGGCUUUUUUUCGCCAAAGGUUUGAUUAGGGAGGAAGAAUUACUUUUUUUGCCUAUAGUAAUUCCAGAUUGGUUGUAACUCGAUUAUAUAGAUCUCUGAGUCAUGACGUCUUCGGUGAACAGGGUAUAUUACAGGGAAAUGAACACUUAUUAUGACUGUUAUAUCUGACACUGUGUCAAGUUUGAGAGGCACCACCCUAUCUAAGUUUCUGUCAAGGAAAUGCUAAGUUGUACAAUUUUGUAAUGAAGUAAGUGUUUUAUAUCUUGCAGGGUACAGCAUUUUUACAUAUAUCUUUACAAUGGAUUCUUGCAAAGUUACCCGGUGUCAUGGGUGCAAGAUUAAAUAAACAAAAUUUAAAUACAAAAAUAAUUAGGGAAAGCUCAACUAAAAUGGAAUAAAAUUAUAACAAAUAAAUGUGGUCAGAUCAGAGAUGUUGGCCUUCAUCUUUGUGUCCAGUCAAUGAUAGUUCUUGGCCAGAAACGUUUCCAAUGGGUGCAUGUUAUCAUAGGUCAGCUCGUGUAAUGUGGGUGAACACAGGAGCCUGGUACCUAACAACUAAGACCUCGUCACCAUGCCCAUUCAUCAACUCGACUAAGAUGGCGGACAAUAACAGGCGAGCGAGAAGCGGAAAUAUAAAGAUCUGAAAGAUGAACCCAAGAAGCAUCUGUUAACUUCGAGCAGGCAAAAGAAAAUUUAGAAGUUAGAAGAAAUGAAGGAAAAGGAACGGAAACGGAAAGAUUUGUAUGUGUAGUUGGGCAGUAAGUUGACCUGUAAAUGUUUGGUUGAGAUAAAUUACAGCUAGGUUGUGGUUUACCUCUGUUGCGAGUAAAUUAUUGGAAGAGGUUUUACCCCACAGGAUCUAACUGACCUGUGAAAAAAAACCAAAGGGAAAGUCAUUGACAGUAACUCUAUAAAAUUCUAAGCAGUGAUUAAAGUGUUUAUCUCCAGAAGUACAUGCCAGGCCUCUAAUGUUAUCUGAGGUCAUGCUGGCUUGACAGUGUCAUAAAUCUGAACAUAGAGCCCCACCCAUGAAGUUAUCUGAGGUGGUGGCUAACACAACAUGGGAAUCACUUCAGACAGCUGGAGCUGCUGUUGUGUUCCUUUAGGUCUUAUAAGUAGUUUGACCUUUAAAUAUUGUGUUGUUUGGUUGAGGCAUGCCACUGUCAGCUUCAUGGUUUUGCUCUGUUCUGAGGUAUCGCAGGAGGUUUCACCCCACAGGUUCUAACUGACCUGUGAAAAAACUAAAACCAGAGGGUAAGUCAGUGAAAGGGGAGGUUUGUUGUACAUAGUUCUUACUAACAAUAAAAUGAUUGUUCAUCAUUUGGAGUACCAACCAGACCUGUGAAGUUAUCUGAAGUCAUGGUGGCUUGACAAUGCCAGAAAUUCAAAUGUCGAGCCCCACCCAUGAGGUCAUCUGAGGUGGUGGCUAACAGAACAUGGGAAUCACUUCAGGAAACUGAAGCUGACUGUUGUGUUCCUUUAGGUCUUAUAAGUACAUGUACUUUGACCUUUAAACAUUGUGUUGUUUGGUUUAGGCAUGCCAUUGUCAGCUUCACAGUUUUGCUCUGUUGCAAGUAAUCGCAGGAGGUUUCACCCGGCAGGUUCUAAAUGACCUGUGAAAAAACUUAAACCUGAUGAGAAGCCAGUGAAAGGUUCUAACUGACCUGUGAAAAAACUUAAACCAGAUGAGAAGCCAGUCAAAGCUUCAAGACCCAUUCACAUACCUGGCUUGACCUUAUCUUGGGCCAUUUCCAUAAGCUCCAUUUGGAAGAUAUGGGCUACACUAGUCGUAAUAUGGUCAGUUGAAAAGGACUAUGGAACCAGGCCACAUAAUUGUUGUGCAGUUGUGUUGGAUCAGUGGGUCUGUUUUAAGUGCCAAGUUUGCAGGAUUUACAGCUUCUCAUCAUGAUCUUCUUCAAACAACUUCGUCUGUAGUCUGUAGUCUUCUCGGGAAAGUGCCAUCUCACUUGAGAAUACCGUGGUUUCCAGGAAAAUUAGACAUUCUGAAGAAAAUGGUCAAUUGACUAGAAACAUGUCAGUGUUGAGGUUGCUGAAUUAAAGAUUUUAAAUCACUGAAAUUUGUUGUGUCUUUGCAUUAUCAGCUCAAUAAGAAGGGAAUUCGUUAUAAAAAACGAAUGCAUGCCACCCCUAUGACUCCCGAAAAGGUAAAACUUCAGGGAAAGAGUAAAACUGGAACAAUACAUUGCCAACAUAGCAAAUCGUAAUUCAGAAAUGAAGGGACGAGGAUAAAUUUAUAACUGAGAAAAUGACCCGAAUUGAUAAAAAAAAUCUCUUAGUUAUUGAGAUGUUGGAGUUAUCGAGGAGCGCUUUCCAUUCGACUAAAAAUUCCGAAAUUUUCGAUACGGAGUCAAAUGGUAUGGGAAUUUCCCGGGAAAAUGUCCAGAAAAUCGAGUAAUUUUGGAAUUUCCGAAAAGCGAACUAUUCAACCGAAAAUUCCGGGAUGAAAAUCAAAUGGAAAGGAAAUUUCCAGGAAAAAUGUUCGAAAAUUUGGGCAUACCUCAGAAGGUUGUCCUCUUUUUCGGAAAUCAGGUAAAUUGGCAAUUUUCUAUUCAGCGCUAGUUCUUUUGGCCGCGAUCACGUCAGCGUUUUGGACAUCUCACGCAAGGAUGACGGCGACGCGUAUUCGAAAAUGGAUUAAUACUUUACUUUAGAAUCUUGCCACUUGCCUGUCAAUAGAUGAUAGCGACAGCUAAAUUGUCAAGAAAGCGUUUAAUUCCAAUUAAAUAAAAUAUGCAUAGGUUGACCCUGAAAUGUACAAAGAUUUAUAACGCGUGCAAAGCCAUUGUGCCACUCAUUAAGCCCUCUAAACCAUUAAACCCGGAAAUUAACACCGGAAUAUUUGGUCGAAUGGAAAGCGCCCGAGGGUUCUUGUUUCCAAGGGUAAAAUAGCAAGAAAUGUCAGAAGCAAACGCAGGGAAAUCUGUUUUGGUUCGAGUUAGCGCUAGAUUCGAGUUACCGGGGCUAGGGUUAUUGGGUCUCAACUCUAAAUACCAUCCUAGUUUCAACGGGCAGGUUGCACACCUUGUGUGUAUUUUUACCAGGGAUGAAGAAAAUUUGGAUUGAAUUCUCUUUAACAAUUCAGUCAGAGUCCGUAUGUGUAAUGCGCAUGCGUAGCUGCAAAAGUAUGUGCCUUCAUUUACCAUAAAGAUUGAAAAUUCUUUAAGUGAUUUUAUUAACUGCGCUUGCGUAUUUGUGAAAGUAUCUUCCAGCAUCUACCAUAUGGAUAGAAAGCUCUAGUAGAUAAGGAAGUAAUUGAAACCUUUUGGGUGGGUGUUGAAAUUCAGCCCAAAAUAACGAUGUGCUCUCUCUUGCAUAAAAGUUUCCAGAAAAUCCGGAAAUGGUUGAAUUUCCGAAAAUCAAACCAUUCAACCCAGAAUUCAGGAAGAUCUUGGAGAAAAAGCGAAAUACUUUUUAUAGAAAAAGAAAUACAAAAGUCAAGUAAAGAAAAGAAAAGAAAAAGUCAAAUACCGGAAAAUACUGUUCAAUUCGUCACUUGAAACCGGAGAAUGUCGUCGAUGUAAUGCACCCAAAGAAACAGUGUUAUUGAUUCUGUAUUUAAAUUGCGCAUGCGCUUUUGGCAAACGUGAACCACAAAGACAAGACACUUUAUUACUAUAUAGGAAAUUGCUCUCCCUGGGCGUGGUGGUGGGGGUAGCGUUACAUUACAUUGUACAAUCAUACAUUGUACAUUAUCUUUUACUCUAUACACUACCAAAAAAAUUCUCUUUUUGGACAAAAAAAUACCCUUUUUUGGACAGUUUAACCUUGUCCAUCCCAAACCCCCUCCACCACCCUAACAUUUCAAUUUACUGUCUAUUCUCACUAGUUCAUCAUCCUUGUGGGACAUCUACGUUUAAUAGUACGCAUGCGCGUUGUUGCUUUUCCACAUUAAAGACCCCUGGUUUUCGGCUCUACCUUGAAAGGAAAAAGUUCAAUCCUUGAAAAAGUAAAAAAUCUGGGGUAGAUCCUCCACCAUCCCCCUCCAACACCCCCCAGAAGAAAUCAAUUACUUCUAUACCAAGAAGAGUUUUCUACCCAAGUGGUAGAUGGCCAAAGAUCCUUUCACAAUACGCUUGCGCAGUAAGUGAAAAGACUAUAACAAAUGCCUUUUAGACUUGUCCAUCCUUAUGGUAGAUAACGGAAGGUAUCCUUUAACAGACACGCAUGCGCAAUAGACUUAUGGAGCUGAAAAGUCCCAAUAGACUUUUCUAUCUUUGUGGUAGAUGGCAAUGGAUCCUCUUCCAGAUACGCAUGCGGAUAAGACAUAAGAAAGCUGCAGUGUUUUUCGAGCAAAUUGGUAGUGGUAGAUGGUGGAACACGAUGUCUAAAGGUAUAUUUUGUAACGUUUCGCUAAUUACACUGGAGUAUGUUCACUGUGUAUGAUUCGUGUUAACUGCAGAAGUAUUUUAGGCGUGAAUCCCUAAGGGGCUAGUAGGCUAUUUAAGAAUUUGUAAGUUAUGCAAGAGCCACUCGAAGGCAUC
This 4593-nucleotide long non-coding RNA is filed under the name Orbicella faveolata. RNAcentral's name for it is "uncharacterized LOC110066790, transcript variant X2". Lineage: Eukaryota; Metazoa; Cnidaria; Anthozoa; Scleractinia; Merulinidae. The record is from RNAcentral.